GACGAACGCUGGCGGCGUGCUUAACACAUGCAAGUCGAACGGAAAGGCCCCUUUGGGGGUACUCGAGUGGCGAACGGGUGAGUAACACGUGAGUAACCUGCCCUUGACUUCGGGAUAACUUCAGGAAACUGGGGCUAAUACCGGAUAGGAAUCCUUGCUGCAUGGUGGGGGGUGGAAAGCUUCGGCGGGGUUGGAUGGACUCGCGGCGUAUCAGCUUGGUGGUGGGGUAGUGGCUUACCAAGGCUUUGACGGGUAGCCGGCCUGAGAGGGCGACCGGCCACAUUGGGACUGAGAUACGGCCCAGACUCCUACGGGAGGCAGAAGUGGGGAAUAUUGCACAAUGGGCGGAAGCCUGAUGCAGCAACGCCGCGUGCGGGAUGACGGCCUUCGGGUUGUAAAACGCUUUCAGCAGGGGCGAAGCUUGUGGUGACGGUACCUGCAGAAGAAGCACCGGCUAACUACGUG
This 465-nucleotide ribosomal RNA is filed under the name uncultured bacterium. RNAcentral describes it as "partial 16S ribosomal RNA". It matches the Rfam family "Bacterial small subunit ribosomal RNA", at positions 28 to 507 of the family's 1533-position model. The record is from RNAcentral.